Non-coding RNA from Pelobates cultripes (western spadefoot toad), 256 nucleotides. NCBI's taxonomy places the organism in Eukaryota, Metazoa, Chordata, Amphibia, Anura, Pelobatidae. The record is from the annotation of a GenBank genome assembly.
CCCCACUAAUUCUCACACGCGGCUUAGACUCUCUGCCAGACCUCACUUAUUCUCACACAUGGCUUAGACUCUCUUCCAGACCCCACUAGUUCUCACACGUGGCUUAAACUCUCUGCCAGACCCCACAAAUUCUCACACGUGGCUUAAACUCUCUGCCAGACCCCACUAAUUCUCACAUGUGGCUUAGAUUUGCUGCCAGACCCCACUAAUUCUCACACUCGGCUUAGACUCUUUGCCAGACCCCACUAAUUCUCAC